GUUGUGUGUUAAAUUGUACACACAAGACUGCCUGCGCAAGCAGGAGGAAGGUGGGGACGACGUCAAAUCAGCAUGGCUCUUACGUCCAGGGCUACACACAUGAUACAAUGGUUGGUACAACGGGUAGCGAAGCCGCAAGGUGUAGCCAAUCCCUUAAAACCAAUCUCAGUUCGGAUUGAAGGCUGAAAUUCGCCUUCAUGAAGUUGGAAUCGCUAGUAAACGUGCAUCAGCUCGGCGCGUUGAAUACGUUCUCGGGUCUUGUACUCAGUCAUUAAAUGCGCCUGGCAGCGUAUAUUUCCAAGAGGUUAAAAUCCUCUCCUCU
Molecule: ribosomal RNA, 322 nt
Filed under: bacterium
Lineage: Bacteria
Description: bacterial SSU rRNA
Rfam family: Bacterial small subunit ribosomal RNA
Source: RNAcentral